RNAcentral lists this non-coding RNA (108 nucleotides) under Aliivibrio fischeri. RNAcentral's name for it is "Vibrio genomosp. Glycine sequence". It matches the Rfam family "Glycine riboswitch aptamer". From Rfam's summary of the family: This family represents the bacterial glycine riboswitch. The record is from RNAcentral. Lineage: Bacteria; Pseudomonadati; Pseudomonadota; Gammaproteobacteria; Vibrionales; Vibrionaceae. RNAcentral also lists the same sequence under 1 other name.
GGAGGAACCUCUGGAGAGAACCGUUAGAUCGGUCGCCGAAGGAGCAAGCUUUAUCAUCUUAUUCGAUGAUUUAGUGAAACUCUCAGGCAAAAGGACAGAGGAGUGGAA